This 1059-nucleotide long non-coding RNA is filed under the name Cricetulus griseus (Chinese hamster). RNAcentral describes it as "lncRNA (ENSCGRG00015036137.1)". Lineage: Eukaryota; Metazoa; Chordata; Mammalia; Rodentia; Cricetidae. The record is from RNAcentral.
GUCUGUAGACACAUUAUCUCACUGCUUGGCUAGGGACUUCCUCUUGAGUGCUACCUCGAAAGUAGUGUGCAUCUCAAAAUUAUUUUAAAUUCAUUAUUAUUGUUGUUGUUGUUAUUUAUUACUAAUAAUUAAUAUUAGCCCCUAACCUUUACUUUUUUUUUUCCAGUGAAGGGGAGGAAUGCAGGGGUGGGGUGGGGUGGGGGAGGGGCUGUCAGGAUCUCUUUGGCCCUCUUCCCCAUCUGGCCAUGUUGUUCUACUUGUCACUGCCCCUACAGCCCCUUCCGAUUUCCUGCCCCGCCCCUCCUCUGCACUCCAUGUUUCUUUCAGUUUUGUAGGUGCUUAUUUAUUGCUGUAUUACGCAUUCAUUUCUCUGAGAGAGGGGGUUGCCUAUGUAUUUCUGCUAGGCAUUUGCCAGCAAUCUGAAGCCUAAUUUGUAGUUGUUGCCUAAGAUGAACAUGAGUGGCCACAUACUCUAUCCUGAAUUCAAGAAAUGACCUUUAAAAUUAAAGGAGCUCUCGAGUAUCAAGAAACAAGAAUCUUAGAAGAGAGUUUGAUAGGCCACACUGGGAAACAGGAUGAGCAGGUCCACGAGAGCCUUGUGCUAUGACACUUCAGAGAGGGUCUACUGCAAAACGAGGCCACACCGCUCCUUAUACCUCCAGCGUCAGUACCAGCAGACUUUGCAGAAAGCACCUGUCCUUUACAUUUGUUCUUGCCAUGCUGAGAACUUUGGCUUGCACUUCCUGCCGUCACCCAGACUGUUCCUCUGCCAUGACAUCAUCCAUUACUAAAGGAACCUCAAACAUUGUGCUGCACUUUGUAGAUGAGAAUAAAUGUCUCCUCUAUUGGAGACUGAGAACAGAACCCUGAAAGCAUCUGCCGAUUGCUUUGUCCCUUCCUGACCAGCCAGCAAGUGGCUUUCUUUCCUGGCAUUUUCUGUACAGUGAGUGAAGGCAGGUCCUGACAGCUGUGUCAGACGCACACUGUUUACUGUGCCUGUGUUUACAUCAGCCUUGUCUAUAUUGACAGCAAACAUCAUAGGGAGGGGAAGAAAGCUUG